This 1586-nucleotide long non-coding RNA is filed under the name Schizosaccharomyces pombe (fission yeast). Its description in RNAcentral is "non-coding RNA, possible alternative UTR". Lineage: Eukaryota; Fungi; Ascomycota; Schizosaccharomycetes; Schizosaccharomycetales; Schizosaccharomycetaceae. The record is from RNAcentral.
GUUGGAAUCCAGCAACUUUAACCAAGCUAUAAGUUUAGAGUAUGUUUGUUAACUACAUGUCAACAGAGGUGGGAAUUAUAAAAGAACUCAAAGCAAUUUUGGAACGGCGAUUGCUGCAAACUAGAUUAGUCAUUGUAUUUUCUAAUAAAAUCUUUGAACCAAAUUUUUAAAUACAAAAGCUUUAAUUGCUGAUUGAUAUUUAACCCCCUAUUUGAGUUCGCAUAUGGUACAAAUGUCCAUGUGUUGGAGCAAUUCCUCAACGAAAUGAGACGCAGACAUACAUGCAAUGUUUUGUGAUUGUAUGCAAACAUUGUCGUUAUGCCUUUGGAAUUGUUUACGCGUUAGUCGCGAAAAUUAUUCUCUAGUACUAGGAAAAUUGCUUAUCGUCACAAUUUUUUUAUUGCCAGUGUGAAAUGACAGUUUUCUAAUAAAUUUCAUUGAUUUAUUGAACCCAUAUGUUAGCAACUCUCUUUUCCCGAGAAGGAACUGCACAGCCAGUACUAGAUGGACAAGUCACCGCGACAACUGGGAAAAGAGUGGCUUGAAUAGUCACGGUUUGACUGAAUAAUUUUCGCGCUUUUCAUUGAGAGUCACGUGAACGCUACAUUAGUCGCCAUUUAAUUUUUAUUUGUUACCAUGUUUUAACGGAUAAAGGUCCAUUGUUGUUUCUCCAAAUUGGGUUUGUCUCAACAUACGGAUGUAUUAGGGCGACCAUUUGUUGAUGCACUGAGCACCAAUUUCAUUCGGCCUACACAUUCUCUUUGUUUACUUUUUGGAACUAAUUAUACGUUGGUCUCUUUGCGUUUCGGUAAUGUUUUGUUUAUGCUGGUAACAUUUUAUAAUGUUGAAAUUGUCAAAUACUCUGUACAUUAAAGACUUGAUUUCGAAAUUCAUCUUAAAAGAUCAAACCUAGAUUCGCGGAUUGUUUACAGUUUCAUCUUAACCGCACAUUCGCAUCCACCAGCAAUUAUCUACACGUGAUUUUAUGUUUCCGUGAAUUUAAAAGAUCUAGUAAAAUGUAACAAUGAUGGAUAGCAACAAAUUCGAUUUCAUUAAAAUCAUAGGAGAGCAUUCAGUCACGUAAAACUCGCACCCACUAUCAUUUAACUAGCCAUGCGCUAAUCUUAAGUGAAGCAAGUUCACUAAUAACAACCGUAAUAAUCUAUUACUAUGCUCUAAGCAACAAUUUGCUUGCUAUUUAGCAAAUGAAUACUACUGUUCUUUUACCGAUUUGCAACGGCAGCCACGUCUGCGCCACUACAUUACCGCUAUCGGUCAGUUAACGAGAACGUAUAUACAGUUUCUUAUGGCGUUUAAACCAUCUACAUUCAUCUGCAUUAUACAAAAUAAAAUCGAAAAAUUCAAGCCGAAUGUAAUGUUUUCGGCUGUAAAGAGUGCGCCAAUAGUGCAAACCUUUUCUUGUCCUAAAACUCUUGGUUCAAUGGGAACGCGUAAGUAUUUAGCAGUUAGUAAGUAAACGGAUUUUGCUACUUCAAAAGAAAACAAUGCAACCAUGACGUUGAUAUUUUGGAAUAACGGGAUAGGAAUGAGCAAGUUGUUUUGCAACUCUAUGUUACUUAACGAAG